GAAACCAGCGAGGGGUGCCAUUGGAGUAUACCCUUGUCCAUGGGUAUCAUUCCUUUGGCUGAGAUCAUACCCUAAAUUACCUGAUCCGGGUUAUACCGGCGGAGGGACUGCUGCGUUGUUGCUAC
Molecule: non-coding RNA, 125 nt
Filed under: Aphanomyces invadans
Lineage: Eukaryota; Oomycota; Saprolegniomycetes; Saprolegniales; Verrucalvaceae
Description: TPP sequence
Rfam family: TPP riboswitch aptamer (THI element)
About the family: Vitamin B(1) in its active form thiamin pyrophosphate (TPP) is an essential coenzyme that is synthesised by coupling of pyrimidine and thiazole moieties in bacteria. The previously detected thiamin-regulatory element, thi box was extended, resulting in a new, highly conserved RNA secondary structure, the THI element, which is widely distributed in eubacteria and also occurs in some archaea. Analysis of operon structures identified a large number of new candidate thiamin-regulated genes, mostly transporters, in various prokaryotic organisms.
Source: Rfam by way of RNAcentral